AGCAGCCGCGGUAAUUCCAGCUCCAAUAGCGUAUAUUAAAGUUGUUGCAGUUAAAAAGCUCGUAGUUGAAUUUCGGGAUUUGUCAGUUGGUCGGGCUUCACUGUCCGUAUUGACUUGAUGGAUUCUUACCUUCUGAAUAACCAGCAUGCUAUUAAGUUAGUGCGUUGGGGAAGCAGAUCUAUUACCUUGAAAAAAUUAGAGUGCUUAAAGCGAGCUAGUGCUUGAAUAGAUUAGCAUGGAAUAAUAAAAUAGGACGGCAUGGUUCUAUUUUGUUGGUUUCUAGGAUCACCGUAAGUGAUUAAUAGGGAUAGUUGGGGGCAUUAGUAUUCAAUUGUCAGAGGUGAAAUUCUUGGAUUUAUUGAAGACUAACUUCUGCGAAAGCAUUUGCCAAGGAUGUUUUCAUUAAUCAAGAACGAAAGUUAGGGGAUCGAAGACGAUCAGAUACCGUCGUAGUCUUAACCAUAAACUAUGCCGACUAGGAAUCGGACGAUGUUAAUUUUAUAAUGACUCGUUCGGCACC
RNAcentral lists this ribosomal RNA (520 nucleotides) under uncultured Acaulospora. RNAcentral describes it as "SSU rRNA". It matches the Rfam family "Eukaryotic small subunit ribosomal RNA", at positions 569 to 1087 of the family's 1831-position model. The record is from RNAcentral. Lineage: Eukaryota; Fungi; Glomeromycota; Glomeromycetes; Diversisporales; Acaulosporaceae.